RNAcentral lists this ribosomal RNA (279 nucleotides) under Triticum aestivum (bread wheat). Its description in RNAcentral is "partial small subunit ribosomal RNA". Lineage: Eukaryota; Viridiplantae; Streptophyta; Magnoliopsida; Poales; Poaceae. The record is from RNAcentral.
AUGUGUCUAAGGAGAAGGCUGACGAUCAUAUUGCUCUGCCUAGCAAGCAAAUUGAUGUUGCUCCAUCUAACCAUCCAAAUGAGAGUGUUCUCUUACAGGACGGUGGUGUCUCUGCUGAAGGGGCAGGGCAACUUACUAUGCAAGGGCCGCAAAAUGUAUGGUUGUUCUGCAGGACCACCACGUAGGUCAAAAAGGUUGAAUGUGAUUCAGGUUACGGACCAACGUGAUGAUGAAGAUGGAGACUGCAACAAUGGUGAGCAAUUACCACAAGGUCAUUAA